RNAcentral lists this small RNA (6581 nucleotides) under Pan troglodytes (chimpanzee). RNAcentral's name for it is "processed transcript". Lineage: Eukaryota; Metazoa; Chordata; Mammalia; Primates; Hominidae. The record is from RNAcentral.
GUUUUCUUGGGUAUAUACCCAGAAGUGGAAUUUACUUAAUUGUUCUUGAAUAGGGAAUACCUCUGUAUGGUGGACAAUAUAAAAGGCACAAGAAGUCAUAGAGUUCCCUGAGCUCCGACCUCCAAGUUCCCCUCCCAGGAAGCAUCACUGUAACCAGUUUCUGUGACCUCUUCCCUGGAGAGACCAUACUGUACCCAUAGGCACCCUCUACACAGGCAUGAUGACAGCCAUAAGCACUCUUCUACACUUUCCCUUUUUCCUACUUAACAAUAUUUCUUUUUUAAAAAUUUAAAAAUCUAUUUAUUUUUUUCUUCAACUUUUAUUUUAAGUUCAGGGGAACAUAUGCCAGAUGUGCAGGUUUGUUACAUAGGUAAAUGUAUGCCGUGGUGGUUUGCUGCACAGAUCAUCCCAUCACCUAGAUAUUAAGCCCAGCAAAUAUUAGCUGUUCUUCCUGAUGCUCUCCCUCCCCUAACAAUAUUUCUAAAAAAAUCAUUCCAUAGCACCAUUUAAAGAAUAUCCUCAUUCUAUUUAAAAGGUUCAUGGUUUUCCAAAGUGGAGACAAAACUUGUUUUUCUUUCUUUCUUUUUUAAAAUCAGUCCUUUAUUCAUGGACAUUCAGGUUGUUUCCAAUGUUUUGCCACUGUGAGCAAUGCUCUGUUGAUAACAGCCAGCAUUUCCUGAAUGCUUACCAUGUGCCAGGCCCUUGUUAAAAUCCUUCCCAUGUAUCAUAUUUAAUUCUCACUACAACUGUGACAUAAGCACAGGGAGGUGAGUAACUGUCCCAAACCGCAUCUCUGUUUUUGUCCACAGGUGGGAGUGUAAGAUAACCUUCCAGAUAAAGAGUUGCUGCUACCAAAAGAGUGCUGACACCAUCACAGUAUGUUCCCUUCUCAACCCUGGACACGGUUCAAAAGCAGCUAAAGCAGACAAGAAUCUGGGGCAGCCAAUAUUGUACCACCUGCCAAAGCUUGGCACAAACAAUCUGGAAGCCAAAAAUUGCACAUACUGUGGAACAGAGCAAGUGGUUCUGGCCUCCCUGGGAUUUGGAUCUUGGUUUCCAGAGCUAAGAACACAAAGGGUCCCCAGCUGCUGAGCAGCUCCAGGACAUCCUGGGGGAGGAAGAUGAGGCUCCCAACCCCACCCUCUUUACAGAGAUGGAUACUCUGCAGCAUGACGGAGACCAGAUGGAGUGGAAGGAGUCAGCCAGGUGGAUAAAGUUUGAAGAAAAGGUAGAGGAAGGCGGCGAACGCUGGAGCAAGCCCCACGUGUCCACACUAUCCCUGCACAGCCUCUUCGAGCUCCGUACCUGCCUGCAGACGGGGACGGUGCUGCUGGAUUUGGACAGUGGCUCCUUACCACAGAUCAUAGACGAUGUCAUUGAGAAGCAGAUUGAGGAUGGUCUCCUGCGGCCAGAGCUCCGGGAGAGGGUCAGUUACGUCCUCCUGAGGAGGCACCGCCACCAAACCAAGAAGCCCAUCCACCGCUCCUUAGCUGACAUUGGGAAGUCAGUCUCCACCACAAAUCGCAGUCCUGCCCGGAGCCCUGGUGCUGGCCCGAGUCUACACCACUCCACGGAAGACCUGCGGAUGCGGCAGAGUGCAAAUUACGGACAUCUGUGUCAUGCCCAGAGCAGAAGCAUGAAUGACAUUUCUCUCACCCCAAACACAGACCAGCGGAAAAACAAAUUCAUGAAGAAGAUCCCCAAGGACUCAGAAGCGUCCAACGUGCUCGUGGGCGAGGUGGACUUCCUAGACCAGCCAUUCAUCGCGUUCGUGCGCCUCAUCCAGUCGGCCAUGCUGGGAGGAGUGACCGAGGUGCCUGUCCCCACCAGAUUUCUGUUUAUACUACUGGGACCUUCUGGGAGAGCAAAAUCCUACAAUGAAAUUGGCCGUGCCAUUGCAACCCUCAUGGUAGAUGAUCUCUUCAGUGACGUGGCCUACAAAGCCCGCAAUCGGGAAGAUCUGAUCGCAGGAAUUGAUGAAUUUCUGGAUGAGGUCAUCGUCCUUCCUCCUGGAGAAUGGGACCCAAAUAUCCGGAUUGAGCCCCCCAAGAAGGUGCCCUCUGCUGACAAGAGGAAAUCUGUGUUCUCCCUAGCAGAGCUGGGCCAGAUGAAUGGCUCUGUGGGAGGAGGCGGCGGAGCUCCUGGAGGAGGCAAUGGAGGUGGUGGUGGUGGUGGCAGUGGCGGCGGGGCUGGCAGUGGCGGGGCCGGCGGAACAAGCAGCGGGGAUGAUGGAGAGAUGCCAGCCAUGCAUGAAAUCGGGGAGGAACUUAUCUGGACAGGAAGGUUCUUCGGUGGCCUGUGUCUGGAUAUCAAGAGGAAGUUGCCCUGGUUCCCAAGUGACUUCUAUGAUGGCUUCCACAUUCAGUCCAUCUCUGCCAUCCUAUUCAUCUACCUCGGCUGUAUCACCAACGCGAUCACCUUUGGUGGGCUUCUGGGGGAUGCCACCGACAAUUAUCAGGGAGUGAUGGAGAGCUUCCUGGGCACUGCCAUGGCUGGCUCCUUGUUCUGCCUCUUCUCGGGACAGCCUCUCAUCAUUCUCAGCAGCACGGGGCCCAUCCUCAUCUUUGAGAAGCUCCUCUUCGACUUCAGCAAAGGCAAUGGCCUGGACUACAUGGAGUUCCGCCUCUGGAUUGGCCUACACUCAGCUGUCCAGUGCCUUAUCCUAGUGGCCACAGAUGCCAGCUUUAUCAUCAAAUAUAUCACCCGCUUCACCGAGGAGGGCUUCUCCACCCUUAUCAGCUUCAUCUUCAUCUAUGAUGCCAUCAAGAAGAUGAUCGGUGCCUUCAAGUACUACCCUAUCAAUAUGGACUUCAAGCCAAACUUCAUCACUACCUACAAGUGCGAGUGUGUCGCCCCUGACACAGUGAAUACAACCGUGUUCAAUGCUUCAGCCCCAUUGGCACCAGACACCAACGCUUCUCUGUACAACCCCCUUAACCUCACAGCGUUGGACUGGUCCCUGCUGAGCAAGAAGGAGUGUCUGAGCUACGGCGGGCGCCUGCUUGGGAAUUCCUGCAAGUUUAUCCCAGAUCUGGCGCUCAUGUCCUUCAUCCUUUUCUUUGGGACAUACUCCAUGACCCUGACCCUGAAGAAGUUCAAAUUCAGCCGCUAUUUUCCUACCAAGGUCCGGGCCCUGGUGGCUGACUUUUCCAUUGUUUUCUCCAUCCUGAUGUUCUGUGGAAUCGAUGCCUGUUUUGGCCUAGAAACUCCCAAGCUGCAUGUGCCCAGUGUCAUCAAGCCAACGCGGCCUGACCGAGGCUGGUUCGUGGCCCCCUUUGGGAAGAACCCGUGGUGGGUAUACCCAGCAAGCAUCCUGCCCGCCCUGCUGGUGACCAUCCUGAUCUUCAUGGACCAGCAGAUCACUGCCGUCAUUGUCAACCGGAAGGAGAACAAACUGAAGGGAACAGAGAGUAACCGGCAUCAUCGUCUUCAUCCUGACGGGAAUCUCUGUCUUCCUGGCUCCCAUCCUAAAGUGUAUCCCCCUGCCGGUGCUGUACGGAGUCUUCCUCUACAUGGGCGUGGCCUCCCUGAAUGGCAUCCAGUUCUGGGAACGCUGCAAGCUCUUCCUGAUGCCAGCCAAGCACCAGCCGGACCAUGCCUUCCUGCGGCACGUGCCGCUGCGCCGGAUCCACCUCUUCACCCUGGUGCAGAUCCUCUGCCUGGCGGUGCUCUGGAUCCUCAAAUCCACGGUGGCUGCCAUCAUCUUCCCGGUCAUGAUCCUGGGCCUCAUCAUCGUUCGAAGGCUUCUGGAUUUCAUCUUUUCCCAGCACGACCUGGCCUGGAUUGACAACAUCCUCCCAGAGAAGGAAAAAAAGGAGACAGACAAGAAGAGGAAGAGAAAAAAAGGGGCCCACGAGGACUGUGAUGAGGAGCCCCAGUUCCCUCCUCCCUCGGUUAUAAAGAUUCCCAUGGAAAGUGUCCAAUCAGAUCCCCAAAACGGUAUCCACUGCAUUGCCAGAAAAAGAUCUUCCAGUUGGAGUUACUCACUCUGAUUCUUCCUUCAGUGACACAGAACUUGACCGAAGCAUCACCUUGCACUUCAAAAUAUCCUGUCCAGCUUCACCUGCUUUCAGCUACUCACGGAACCCAGUGUUCAUGGUGCCACAGGUGAAGAUAGAGAUGGAGUCAGACUAUGACUUCACAGACAUGGAUAAAUACCGAAGAGAAACUGACAGUGAGACCACCCUCUAGGAUGAAGCAGCUUCUCCCAGAUGGGAGAUGGAGAGCCUGGCUUAGUCUUCACUGGGAAAGUCUUAACUUCUCUGUGCCUGUUUCCUUCUUUAUCAAACAGCGGGAGUCCGUCUGCCUAUAGAAAACUGGAGAUCUAUUGAUGAAAAGUAUUGCUUAGAUGCAAAGCUCUCCCCUUCCCUUUGUAGUAAUUAAAAUACCUAAAGCUAAAUAUUAUAUUUUAUUUUAAAAUGCAGUUCAGCAUAGAAAUUCUAACAUUUCUUUGGAAAUAAAAAAAUGCUUGUUUCCCCAAACCAUAGCUAAGAUAAAGGGGCAAUAGUCAAUUCAUAUUUAAAACAAAUAUCAAUUUAAAAUUGUUUAAAGGUUAGAUUUAAAUAUAGAUGUUCUCGAACAAACUUGUAAUAUACUUUUAUGUCACUAGACCAUCUUUGGAAUAUUUGGCAAUUCUGCAUAUUAAGAAAUGCUGAAAAGGUCCUAUCUUUUCUCCCUGUCACAUCCAAUUUCCUAAGGGUUAUAUGAAAAGUUUGAACCAGCCGGGCACAGUGGCACAUGCCUGUAAUCCUAGCACUUUGGGAGGCCGAGGCAGGUGAAUUGCCUGAGCUCAGGAGUUCGAGACCAGCCUAGGCAACACGGUGAAACCCCGUCUCUACUAAACUACAAAAAAUUAGCCGGGUGUGGUGGCAUGCGCCUGUAGUCCCAGCUAUUCGGGAGGCUGAGGCAGGAGAAUCGCUUGAACCCAGGAGGCAGAAGUUGCAGUGAGCUGAGAUGGCACCACUGCACUCCAGCCUAGGCAACAGAGUGAGACUCCGUAUCCAAACAAAAAAAAAGUUUGAACCAUCUGCAUUAUGGGCCUUGCUCCAGAAGUGUGACUGGGGCUUUCCCAGAUUGAAAAGCCAGUUCCAAAACUCUGUUAAUGAAAGAACCAAUGCAUCUGAGUGGAUAAAUGUUUCUAAAAUAAAAUAGUUCUUGUUAAAGUGAAAUUUGAAACCACAUGUUAAAUCAAAAUGAUCCUUUAAAUUAGUAUCACUGGUUUUUCAUACCUGGGAUCACAUUUCAUGAUACAUUUGGGUGGGUCCUCCCUGCAAAUUUUCAAUGUUUAUUCCCAAAGUCAAACUCCCAUUCAUGUGAACAAUACAGGUUAGACAGAGGUAAGGUCACAUUUUACAUUACAACUUUGCAAUAUUAAUCAACCUAGUACUUUAAAGGAAUGAUUGAAAACUAUUUGGGAAGAUAAAAACCAGUUUCAAUGAAGCAAACCUAUUCCUCAUGAAACUUAAGAUCAGUCAUUUUACCUUCAAUCCACAUUUAAUGAACACCAACCAUGUUGAUUUAAUGCCUACUACGACCCUGACAGCCACAGUGCAUCUGACACUUACUUUCUCCAAAACAACUAUGAUUUGAACCUUGAGUAAAUCACUUGAACCUUGAGGUUAGAGUUACUAUAUUUGCUCAAGAUGACAAAUGCAGGUGCUUUCUUUUUUAAAGAAAAAUGACAUUAGAUCAUUAACACCUUGAGUAUAGGACAGGUAAUUGCCUCUGUAAUUCCCAGAGUCUAGUGUAGUGCCUGGUCCAUAGAAAGCUCUCAAUAAGUGUUUGAUUACAUUUAAUCUCAGAGCUCCCUUCCAAGGGAUACUGCCAAGAGGUAAAGCUCCAAACCUCUACUCUUACUGAGAGCAGAAUUUCUUAGAAUUUCCAGAACCAUCUCCUAUGCUUAAGUAUAAAUUCUUGUCAGACACAGUGGCUCACACCUGUAAUCCCGCUACUUGGGAGGCAGAGGUGGGGGGGAUCAGCAGAGGUCAGGAGGUCAAGACCAGCCUGGGCAACAUAGUGAGACCCAUCUCUAAACAAAUGUUUAAAAAUUAGCUAGGCAUGCUGGCACACACCUGUAGUCCCAGCCAUUUCAGAGGCUGAUGCAGGAGGAUCGUUUAAGUCCAGGAGUUCAAGGCUGCAGUGAGCUAUAAUCAUGCCACUGCACUCCAGCCAGGGAGACAGCUGGAAUCCAUGUCUUAUAAACAAUAAUAAUUAAUUUUUUAAAAAAGUAUUUAUCAUCCACACCAAUCCUGGGGAAGCUAACAAUCCACCCUUAACACAUUUCAGUUUUAAAACCUGGCUGAUCUGGAAUAGAACUUUGUCCAAAUUAAAUUGUAGAAAUGCUAUGGAUUCAAGAGUAAACCUGCUUGAUUAAUCAAACAAGCUGGAAAACUACUGUUAAUUUCUUUGUUGUAAAUUGAUCACUGUAAUUUUACCUUACAUGUCAUUUAUAUUUUGUAUAUACAUGAACAUUUUAAUUUCCAUAGCUUUUAACAGGUUGACAUAAUACUUCUCCAUGCAGUAAGUCAGUCAUUUUUUCCACUUGUAACUGUAAUUCAAUAAAAUUUAAUCCUGUCUGGUCA